GGCCUGGUGACUGAGUGGUUUAAAGUAACAGUUUUGAAAACUGUCGAUGGUGAUACAUCCGUCCGUUCGAAUCGGACCCAGGUCG
Molecule: transfer RNA, 85 nt
Filed under: Caudoviricetes sp.
Lineage: Duplodnaviria; Heunggongvirae; Uroviricota; Caudoviricetes
Description: tRNA-Ser
Rfam family: tRNA
About the family: Transfer RNA (tRNA) molecules are approximately 80 nucleotides in length. Their secondary structure includes four short double-helical elements and three loops (D, anti-codon, and T loops).
Source: RNAcentral